Molecule: long non-coding RNA, 613 nt
Organism: Spodoptera frugiperda (fall armyworm)
Lineage: Eukaryota; Metazoa; Arthropoda; Insecta; Lepidoptera; Noctuidae
Exons: 2
Source: RefSeq, a predicted model, not a curated record
UUUUAGGGAACAGCGAGUAAAGUUCCCUAAGAAAAGGAGGAUCCUCCGACCAGGCGAGGUGAUCAUGCCUGGCGGGCUUUCUGCCCAACUGUUGUACGUUGGGAUUUUCUAUCCGUGUUAAUUCGCAUGCAAACUUCAUAUGUGCGAUGCAGGAUAUUUGUGACGUCAUCCAUUGAUUUGCUCGUCGAUAGUCUAUGUGCGACUUCUGUCAUCUGUCACUUGUCAAUGUGUCGCCACAGGUUUUCAGAAAAUAUGACAUGACAUUUAUAACGAUGACAGAUGUCAAAAGUACCUAGAUCGCGCAAGCAAAGUUUUCAUUACACGAUACACUCAUUGCUAUAUUCAAGUCUUAUUAUAAAGUCAACUUCACUAUUGGCGCGCACGAUUGACUUCCGCGUAAAGUGUCAUGGGUUCGAUUCCCGCAUGGAACAAUUAUUUAUGUGAUUCAUGAUAGACAUUUUAAUAUUUUCUUAAUGAUUUGGGGAGUUAAGAAAGAAAUUUGUCCAUAAGCUUAGACAAAUUUCUGAUACGCCUCCCCUAAAUUGAUAUUUGCGAUGAACAACUUUGUCGAAUUAAGUUUAUUGACAGAGCUACAUGUUGCAAUACAUUUAAA